AGCGAACGUUAGCGGCGGGCCUAACACAUGCAAGUCGAGCGAGAAAGUGGCUUCGGCCAUCAGUAAAGCGGCGGACGGGUGAGUAACACGUAGGUAAUCUUCCCUUGAGCGGGGGACAACGUUUCGAAAGGAACGCUAAUACCGCAUAAGUUUCCGAGGACUCUGGUUCUUGGAAGGAAAGCUAGGUCGCAAGAUCCGGCACUCGAGGAGGAGCCUGCGUCGCAUCAGCUAGUUGGUGGGGAAUGGCCUACCAAGGCGAAGACGCGUAGCUGGUCUGAGAGGAUGAUCAGCCACACUGGGACUGAGACACGGCCCAGACUCCUACGGGAGGCAGCAGUGGGGAAUAUUGGACAAUGGGCGCAAGCCUGAUCCAGCCACGCCGCGUGAGUGAUGAAGGCCUGGUCGUAAGACUCUGUGGGGAGGGACGGAACCGCCGA
Molecule: ribosomal RNA, 437 nt
Filed under: uncultured bacterium
Lineage: Bacteria
Description: bacterial SSU rRNA
Rfam family: Bacterial small subunit ribosomal RNA
Source: RNAcentral